This 495-nucleotide ribosomal RNA is filed under the name uncultured bacterium. Its description in RNAcentral is "partial 16S ribosomal RNA". It matches the Rfam family "Bacterial small subunit ribosomal RNA", at positions 28 to 507 of the family's 1533-position model. The record is from RNAcentral.
GACGAACGCUGGCGGCGUGCCUAAUACAUGCAAGUAGAACGCUGAAGGAGGAGCUUGCUUCUCUGGAUGAGUUGCGAACGGGUGAGUAACGCGUAGGUAACCUGCCUGGUAGCGGGGGAUAACUAUUGGAAACGAUAGCUAAUACCGCAUAAGAGUUGAUGUUGCAUGACAUUUGCUUGAAAGGUGCAAUUGCAUCACUACCAGAUGGAGCUGCGUUGUAUUAGGUAGUUGGUGGGGUAACGGCUCACUAAGGCGACGAUACAUCGCCGACCGGAGAGGGUGGGUAGCCCGCCUGGGACGGUGACACGGCCCAGACUCCCUGCGGAAGGAGCCAGAGGGAAACGUCGGCAAUGGGCGGAAGUCUGAGCGAGCAACGCCGCGGGAGGGUAGAAGGUUGUCGGGUCGGAAAGCUCGGUUGUAAGGGAAGAAAGAGUGUUAGAGUGGAAAGUUCACACUGUGACGGUAUCUGAUCAGAAAGCGACGGCUAACUACGUG